This is a microRNA precursor of Oryza rufipogon (brownbeard rice), 205 nucleotides long. It matches the Rfam family "MIR812 microRNA precursor family". Lineage: Eukaryota; Viridiplantae; Streptophyta; Magnoliopsida; Poales; Poaceae. The record is from Rfam.
UUUAAGCGCAGCCAUGAGUUUCUGUUUCCAACUUUAAUCGUCUGUUUUAUUUAAUUUUUUUUUAAAAAAAAUAAAAACAUAAGCCACGCAUAAAGUAUUAUUUAUGUUUUAUCAUCUAAUAACAAUAAAAAUAUUAAUCAUAAAAGAAUUUCAAAUAACACAAACGACCAAAAUUGGAUAAAAAAAUGAGACGGAUGGAGGACAU